This 114-nucleotide ribosomal RNA is filed under the name uncultured bacterium. RNAcentral describes it as "partial 16S ribosomal RNA". It matches the Rfam family "Bacterial small subunit ribosomal RNA", at positions 1360 to 1482 of the family's 1533-position model. The record is from RNAcentral.
CGGUGAAUACGUUCCUGGACCUUGUACACACCGCCCGUCAAGCCAUGGAAGCUGGGUGUACCUAAAGUCGAUAACCGUAAGGAGUCGCCUAGGGUAAAACUAGUAACUGGGGCU